RNAcentral lists this ribosomal RNA (327 nucleotides) under uncultured eukaryote. RNAcentral's name for it is "partial 18S ribosomal RNA". It matches the Rfam family "Eukaryotic small subunit ribosomal RNA", at positions 1470 to 1796 of the family's 1831-position model. The record is from RNAcentral.
CCCUUAGAUGUUCUGGGCCGCACGCGCGCUACACUGAUUCAUGCAACAAGUUUUGUCCUUGGCUGAUAGGCCUGGGUAAUCUUUGAACGUGGAUCGUGAUGGGGAUAGAUGAUUGCAAUUAUUCAUCUUCAACGAGGAAUUCCUAGUAAACGCAAGUCAUCAGCUUGCAUUGAUUACGUCCCUGCCCUUUGUACACACCGCCCGUCGCACCUACCGAUUGAAUGGUCCGGUGAAAUCUUCGGAUCUGAGAGAUGUCUGAUUAAUUUCGGACGCCUUUUGGAAAAGUUGCUUAAACCUUACCAUUUAGAGGAAGGUGAAGUCGUANCA